Molecule: ribosomal RNA, 558 nt
Filed under: Eotetranychus populi
Lineage: Eukaryota; Metazoa; Arthropoda; Arachnida; Trombidiformes; Tetranychidae
Description: eukaryotic LSU rRNA
Rfam family: Eukaryotic large subunit ribosomal RNA
Source: RNAcentral
AACGAGAUUCCCACUGUCCCUAACUACUAUCUAGCGAAACCACAGCCAAGGGAACGGGCUUGGCAAAAUCAGCGGGGAAAGAAGACCCUGUUGAGCUUGACUCUAGUCUGACUUUGUGAAGAGACAUGAGAGGUGUAGCAUAAGUGGGAGCCUUGGGAUCAAUCUCAAUUAUUGCUUCGGUUUUAGUUGAGACCCCUUGGCGAUCAUGAAAUACCACUACUCUCAUCGUUUCUUUACUUACACGGUAAAAAGGAAAUUGGGUUAGUGCCUCUCUCUCUCUUGGAUUUCGGUUCAUGUUGAGGAGGCCACCUAUCUCUAAAUUCUAGAGCUAAAUGUGGUUCCAUCCAUACAUGCCUCAAGACACCUAGUUUUGUUUUGUUCUUCUCGGAGACUUGACAAACUAAAGACUUGGGUUUGGUUGGUAACCCGUGUUUGUUGGUCAAUGCUUGCAUUACCAUACAUUACACAAACCGCAUGAUCCUCGCCGUGGACAUUGUCAGGCGGGCAGUUUGACUGGGGCGGUACAUCUGUCAAAAGGUAACGCAGGUGUCCUAAGGC